This 354-nucleotide non-coding RNA is filed under the name Pongo abelii (Sumatran orangutan). The record is from RNAcentral. Lineage: Eukaryota; Metazoa; Chordata; Mammalia; Primates; Hominidae.
UUGUCCAGAGUCAAAGAUGCUCCACUGAGGCUAUUUCGCUUAGAAAUAUUUGGGAGCCUGCUGUGCUGGAACAGGGUCUCACUGGUGACUGCUACCGCUUCAAGGCUGGGGUGCUGAGAGCUGUACAGCUGUACCCAGCAAAAACACUACUGAGAAUGAAGGCAGGGAACAUCAAGGUGGCUGGAGUGCAGUGGCAUGAACAUGGCUCACUACAGCCUCAACCUCCUGGGCUCAAGUGAUCCUCCCACCCCAGCCUCCCAAGUAGCUGGGACUACAAGUGCAUGCCACCACGCCUGGCUACUUUUUGCAUUUUUUGUAGAGACAGGGUUUUGCCGUGUUGCCCAGGCUUGUCUC